Molecule: ribosomal RNA, 1078 nt
Filed under: uncultured eukaryote
Lineage: Eukaryota
Description: bacterial SSU rRNA
Rfam family: Eukaryotic small subunit ribosomal RNA
Source: RNAcentral
AAAAAUGGUGGUGUUUCUGCCCUCUUGUGAGUGCGCAGGGUAUUCUACCAUCCUUCUGUUAACCUAGCAGCUCUUCACGGGGCUGUUAGGGGCUCAGAUAUUUUACCUUGAGAAAAUUAGAGUGUUUCAGGCAGGCUAGCGCCGGAAUACAUUAGCAUGGAAUAAUAGAAUAGGACUUUUACCUCUUCUGUUGGUCUGAGGGGUUCAAGUAAUGAUUAAUAGGGAUAGUUGGGGGCAUUAGUACUUAACUGUCAGAGGUGAAAUUCUCGGAUUUGUUAAAGACUAACUUAUGCGAAAGCAUUUGCCAAGGGAUGUUUUCAUUAAUCAAGAACGAAAAGUUAGGGGGAUCAAAGACGAUCAGAUACCGUCCUAGGUCUUAACCAUAAACUAUGCCGGACUCGGGAUCGGGGGCGAGAUUUAUCCGCCUUCGGAACCGUAUGAGAAAUCAAAGCCUUUGGGUUCUGGGGGGGAGUUUGGUCGCAAGGUUGAAACUUUAAAGGAAUUGACGAAGGGCACCACCAGGCGUGGAGCUUUGCGGCUCAAUUUUGACUCAACAGGGGAAACUUACCAGGUCAGACAUAGUGAGGAUUGCAGAUCGAUAGCUCUUUCUGGAUUCUAUGGUGGUGGGCAUGGCCGUCUUAGUUGGUGGAGUGAUUUGUCUGGUAAUUCCGUUAACGAACGAGACCUUUAGCCUGCUAACCAGUUCUUCCCAAUCAUGAUUGGUUAGAACUUCUUAGAGGGACUUUGUAAGCAAAUACAAGGAAGUUUGAGGCAAUAACAGGUCUGUGAUGCCCUUAGAUGUCCUGGGCCCGCACGCGUGCUACACUGACACAUACAGCGAGUAUCUCCAGCCCCGCGAGGUGGCUGGUAAUCAGCAAUAUGUGUCGUGAUGGGGAUAGAUCUUUGGAAUUAUUGAUCUUGAACGAGGAAUGCCUAGUAAGCGCAAGUCAUCAGCUUGCGUUGAUUACGUCCCUGCCCUUUGUACACACCGCCCGUCGCUCCUACUGAUUUCGUGUUUUUCCGCCACCCUUGCGGUCCCUAUAGAGACUCGUAUUAUCACUGGGAAGUCAAGUAAACC